This is a non-coding RNA of Schistosoma mansoni, 45 nucleotides long. NCBI's taxonomy places the organism in Eukaryota, Metazoa, Platyhelminthes, Trematoda, Strigeidida, Schistosomatidae. The record is from Rfam.
AUCCAGCUGACGAGUCCCAAAUGGGGCGAAACGCCUAUCCUAGAU